AUUGAACGCUGGCGGCAGGCCUAACACAUGCAAGUCGAGCGGUAGCACAGAGAGCUUGCUCUCGGGUGACGAGCGGCGGACGGGUGAGUAAUGUCUGGGAAACUGCCUGAUGGAGGGGGAUAACUACUGGAAACGGUAGCUAAUACCGCAUAACGUCGCAAGACCAAAGUGGGGGACCUUCGGGCCUCAUGCCAUCAGAUGUGCCCAGAUGGGAUUAGCUAGUAGGUGGGGUAACGGCUCACCUAGGCGACGAUCCCUAGCUGGUCUGAGAGGAUGACCAGCCACACUGGAACUGAGACACGGUCCAGACUCCUACGGGAGGCAGCAGUGGGGAAUAUUGCACAAUGGGCGCAAGCCUGAUGCAGCCAUGCCGCGUGUGUGAAGAAGGCCUUCGGGUUGUAAAGCACUUUCAGCGGGGAGGAAGGCGGUGAGGUUAAUAMCCUCAUCGAUUGACGUUACCCGCAGAAGAAGCACCGGCUAACUCCGUGCCAGCAGCCGCGGUAAUACGGAGGGUGYAAGCGUUAAUCGGAAUUACUGGGCGUAAAGCGCACGCAGGCGGUCUGUCAAGUCGGAUGUGAAAUCCCCGGGCUCAACCUGGSAACUGCAUUCGAAACUGGCAGGCUAGAGUCUUGUAGAGGGGGGUAGAAUUCCAGGUGUAGCGGUGAAAUGCGUAGAGAUCUGGAGGAAUACCGGUGGCGAAGGCGGCCCCCUGGACAAAGACUGACGCUCAGGUGCGAAAGCGUGGGGAGCAAACAGGAUUAGAUACCCUGGUAGUCCACGCCGUAAACGAUGUCGAUUUGGAGGUUGUGCCCUUGAGGCGUGGCUUCCGGAGCUAACGCGUUAAAUCGACCGCCUGGGGAGUACGGCCGCAAGGUUAAAACUCAAAUGAAUUGACGGGGGCCCGCACAAGCGGUGGAGCAUGUGGUUUAAUUCGAUGCAWCGCGAAGAACCUUACCUGGUCUUGACAUCCACAGAACUUUCCAGAGAUGGAUUGGUGCCUUCGGGAACUGUGAGACAGGUGCUGCAUGGCUGUCGUCAGCUCGUGUUGUGAAAUGUUGGGUUAAGUCCCGCAACGAGCGCAACCCUUAUCCUUUGUUGCCAGCGGUYCGGCCGGGAACUCAAAGGAGACUGCCAGUGAUAAACUGGAGGAAGGUGGGGAUGACGUCAAGUCAUCAUGGCCCUUACGACCAGGGCUACACACGUGCUACAAUGGCAUAUACAAAGAGAAGCGACCUCGCGAGAGCAAGCGGACCUCAUAAAGUAUGUCGUAGUCCGGAUUGGAGUCUGCAACUCGACUCCAUGAAGUCGGAAUCGCUAGUAAUCGUAGAUCAGAAUGCUACGGUGAAUACGUUCCCGGGCCUUGUACACACCGCCCGUCACACCAUGGGAGUGGGUUGCAAAAGAAGUAGGUAGCUUAACCUUCGGGAGGGCGCUUACCACUUUGUGAUUCAUGACUGG
RNAcentral lists this ribosomal RNA (1458 nucleotides) under Klebsiella pneumoniae. RNAcentral's name for it is "bacterial SSU rRNA". It matches the Rfam family "Bacterial small subunit ribosomal RNA". The record is from RNAcentral. Lineage: Bacteria; Pseudomonadati; Pseudomonadota; Gammaproteobacteria; Enterobacterales; Enterobacteriaceae.